AUUCAGCUGACGAGUCCCAAAUAGGGCGAAACACGCCUUCUGGAU
Molecule: non-coding RNA, 45 nt
Organism: Schistosoma mansoni
Lineage: Eukaryota; Metazoa; Platyhelminthes; Trematoda; Strigeidida; Schistosomatidae
Source: Rfam